Molecule: ribosomal RNA, 274 nt
Filed under: uncultured bacterium
Lineage: Bacteria
Description: partial 16S ribosomal RNA
Rfam family: Bacterial small subunit ribosomal RNA
Source: RNAcentral
AUACGGAGGGUGCAAGCGUUACUCGGAAUCACUGGGCGUAAAGCGCGCGCAGGCGGCUAUUUAAGUUGGAUGUGAAAGCCUACUGCUCAACCGUAGAACUGCAUCCAAAACUAUUUAGCUAGAGUGUGGGAGAGGAAGAUGGAAUUAGUUGUGUAGGGGUAAAAUCCGUAGAGAUAAAUAGGAAUACCAAAAGCGAAGGCAAUCUUCUGGAACACUACUGACGCUGAGGCGCGAAAGCGUGGGGAGCAAACGGGAUUAGAAACCCUAGUAGUCC